RNAcentral lists this ribosomal RNA (763 nucleotides) under uncultured bacterium. Its description in RNAcentral is "bacterial SSU rRNA". It matches the Rfam family "Bacterial small subunit ribosomal RNA", at positions 51 to 831 of the family's 1533-position model. The record is from RNAcentral.
ACACAUGCAGUCGACGGUGACCUGCUUCGGUGGGGGAUCAGGGGCGAACGGGUGAGUAACACGUGGGCAACCUGCCCUCAGCUCUGGGAUAACUCCAAGAAAUUGGGGCUAAUACUGGAUAUGACUGCUGACCGCAUGGUCUGGUGGUGGAAAGAUUUAUCGGCUGGGGAUGGGCCCGCGGCCUAUCAGCUUGUUGGUGGGGUAGUGGCCUACCAAGGCGACGACGGGUAGCCGGCCUGAGAGGGUGACCGGCCACACUGGGACUGAGACACGGCCCAGACUCCUACGGGAGGCAGCAGUGGGGAAUAUUGCGCAAUGGGCGAAAGCCUGACGCAGCGACGCCGCGUGGGGGAUGACGGCCUUCGGGUUGUAAACCUCUUUCAGCAGGGACGAAGCGGAAGUGACGGUACCUGCAGAAGAAGCACCGGCCAACUACGUGCCAGCAGCCGCGGUAAUACGUAGGGUGCAAGCGUUGUCCGGAAUUAUUGGGCGUAAAGAGCUCGUAGGCGGUUUGUUGCGUCGGCUGUGAAAACCUGAGGCUCAACCUCAGGCCUGCAGUCGAUACGAGCAGACUAGAGUGUUGCAGGGGAGACUGGAAUUCCUGGUGUAGCGGUGAAAUGCGCAGAUAUCAGGAGGAACACCGGUGGCGAAGGCGGGUCUCUGGGCAACAACUGACGCUGAGGAGCGAAAGCGUGGGGAGCGAACAGGAUUAGAUACCCUGGUAGUCCACGCCGUAAACGUUGGGCGCUAGGUGUGGGGCUCA